This 351-nucleotide unclassified non-coding RNA is filed under the name soil metagenome. Its description in RNAcentral is "partial contains 5.8S ribosomal RNA, internal transcribed spacer 2, and large subunit ribosomal RNA". The stretch from base 1 to 120 matches the Rfam family "5.8S ribosomal RNA", at positions 35 to 154 of the family's 154-position model. The record is from RNAcentral.
GAUGAAGAACGCAGCGAAAUGCGAUAAGUAAUGUGAAUUGCAGAAUUCAGUGAAUCAUCGAAUCUUUGAACGCACAUUGCGCCCGCCAGUAUUCUGGCGGGCAUGCCUGUUCGAGCGUCAUUACAACCCUCAGGCCCCCGGGCCUGGCGUUGGGGAUCGGCGGAGCCCCCCGUGGGCACACGCCGUCCCCCAAAUGCAGUGGCGGUCCCGCCGCAGCUUCCAUCGCGUAGUAGCUAACACCUCGCGACUGGAGAGCGGCGCGGCCACGCCGUAAAACACCCAACUCUUCUGAAGUUGACCUCGAAUCAGGUAGGAAUACCCGCUGAACUUAAGCAUAUCAAUAAGGGAGGA